AUUGAACGCUGGCGGUAUGCUUAACACAUGCAAGUCGAACGGUAACAGGCUCUAGCUUGCUAGAGUGCUGACGAGUGGCGGACGGGUGAGUAACGCGUAGGGAUCUGUCCAAGAGAUUGGGACAACACGGGGAAACUCGUGCUAAUACCGAAUAAUUUCUACGGAAAAAAGGUGGGAUUUAUCCUAUCGUUCUUGGGUGAACCUGCGUUGGAUUAGCUUGUUGGUGGGGUAAAGGCCUACCAAGGCGACGAUCCAUAGCUGUUCUGAGAGGAAGAUCAGCCACACUGGGACUGAGACACGGCCCAGACUCCUACGGAGGCAGCAGUGGGGAAUAUUGGACAAUGGGCGCAAGCCUGAUCC
RNAcentral lists this ribosomal RNA (360 nucleotides) under uncultured bacterium. RNAcentral describes it as "bacterial SSU rRNA". It matches the Rfam family "Bacterial small subunit ribosomal RNA", at positions 30 to 389 of the family's 1533-position model. The record is from RNAcentral.